UUCACAGCAGGAACCAGGCUCCAAGCAACAUCUAACUGUGUCACUUUGAUGGAGAAGCAGACUGGAUCAAGGCUCACCUCUACACCCUGGGGACAGUGCGUCUCAUCAGCCCUGCCAGAUGAUGUCCUGGAAUUAGGAAGCAGCUAGUACAACGAAGGAAAACAGAGGAAUGCACUAACACAGGACGUGGGCAGUGUGGCAAGCCAGCCAAAACACGAGUCCACUCUACCCUUUAAUAGGUUGAGAGUUCUGGGGAUCUGAAGUGUGAAAUCAAGGCAUCGGCAGGGUUGGUUUCAUGAGAGUCUGAGGAGGAAUGUUCUAUGUCUUUCUCCUAACUUCUGUGCUGCUUGGCUGCAAGACAUGGAACUUGGCCACCGCCUCCUCUCAAGACUUCCGGUAAUAAGAAAAAAUAAUCAAAAAAAGCAAAAAUCGAGGGUAGCCUGAUUUAAUCUGAGAUGGAUUUCAGGUGCUGCAGAGAAACAAUUCUAAACAAAGUCCAAGGUGAAAAUCCUCCUUCUGGAGUCUCACAUCACAAAAUUGGAGUGAAUGUAGGGCAAUGUUCACAGACAGAAAUGAAAUGACUGAACUCACCCAUAAAAGAAGGAUAACAAUAGCAAAGAGUUGGAACCAACCCAAAUGUCCAACAACGAUAGACUGGAUUAAGAAAAUGUGGCACAUAUACACCAUGGAAUACUAUGCAGCCAUAAAAAAUGAUGAGUUCAUGUCCUUUGUAGGGACAUGGAUGAAACUGGAAACCAUCAUUCUCAGUAAACUAUCGCAAGGACAAAAAACCAAACACCGCAUGUUCUCACUCAUAGGUGGGAAUUGAACAAUGAGAACUCAUGGACACAGGAAGGGGAACAUCACACUCCGGGGACUGUUGUGGGGUGGGGGGAGGGGGGAGGGACAGCAUUAGGAGAUAUACCUAAUGCUAAAUGACGAGUUAAUGGGUGAAGGAAAUCAACAUGGCACAUGGAUACAUAUGUAACAAACCUGCACAUUGUGCACAUGUACCCUAAAAUCUAAAGUAUAAUAAAAAUAUAUAUAUAUAUGAGAAAAAAAAAGAAGGAUAAAACUCAAUUUAAUAAAAGAUAGUUUGGGACAGUUUUAUGUAAAAAUAAACAACUUGACAUUUCAA
Long non-coding RNA from Symphalangus syndactylus (siamang), 1138 nucleotides. RefSeq lists it as uncharacterized. The record is from RefSeq and is a predicted model, not a curated record. NCBI's taxonomy places the organism in Eukaryota, Metazoa, Chordata, Mammalia, Primates, Hylobatidae.